RNAcentral lists this unclassified non-coding RNA (684 nucleotides) under Hevea brasiliensis (rubber tree). The record is from RNAcentral. Lineage: Eukaryota; Viridiplantae; Streptophyta; Magnoliopsida; Malpighiales; Euphorbiaceae.
UCAUCAAUGUUCCAUGGUGGUACCCAGCUUACUACAGGAUGAUUAAUGCAUCUUUCACUACAAGGACCAAGAGCAAGUUUGUUUUUGCUGGUCCUUCAAGAUCUGCUGAUACUCUAUUCAAAUACAUAGCACCUGAACAAGUACCAGCACAAUAUGGUGGACUUAGCAAGGAGGGUGAAGAGGAAUUCACCACUGCUGAACCAGCCACUGAGGAAAUCAUUAAGCCAGCUUCUAAACACACCAUUGAAUUCCCAGUUACUGAGAAAAGCACAUUGGUUUGGGAAGCAAGAGUGACAGGGUGGGAUGUAUCAUAUGGAGCUGAAUUUGUGCCUAGUGCUGAAGGUGGCUACACCAUUCUCAUAGAGAAAUCAAGAAAAGUUGGGGCAAAUGAAUCAGUGAUCAGCACUAGCUACAAGGCAAGUGAAGCAGGCAAAGUGGUAAUCACAAUUGACAACCAAACUUCUAAAAAGAAGAAACUUGUUUACAGGUCCAAGAACAAGAUCUCAGAUUGCUGAGCCGCCUUUUCUUGUUUCAUAGAUUUUUCUUUUGGUUGAUAUCAACUAGUACUAUUAUUUUGAGCUUUUUGGGGGUAUUUAUUUAUAUUUUAUUGGGGUUAUUUUUUGAGCUAUUUUGCUGUUGGAUUGUUUUUUUUAUUAUAUGGGGAAUAUUUAUUAUAUUACAAAG